UUCUCUUUUCUCCAAAGGUUUCUUUAAUUUUCCUGUAGGCAGUAUCUGUCUUACCCCUGGUGAGAUAAGCCUCUACAUCCCUACAUAAAAUUACGUUUUUCUUAGCGUUGUGAACAUGUUGAAGUUGAUUUGCUACAAAGAAAUAGGGUUUGCUGUGAAAUAAGGUAAUCGGCUCACAAAUAACAAUGUAUUUAGAUUUAUUAAAAGUGGCAACAUGAAAAAGAAUGCUCAUAGAAUCAUACCGGUGUCGGAGCAGUGCAAGCAGGUCGGUCUAGCCUGCGAGUUGCCUCCAGCUGCGCACGUGUUUAUCUGACCAGCGUUACUGGCGUGAUGAUGCAUAGCAUUUGCACCCGUGGUCCAGCGAAGGUCUAGUUUCCGAGCGACUCGCGAUCGCAAGUGCAGCUAAAAGGUUCUCAGUGUUACACUGACGUCACAGGUCUAUGUAAAUAAGAGCCAAGUCUCCCUCUGAACACGCUUUAGAAAUCUUUUGCGUAUGCUUCCAAGAAUAGCACAGGAUGCAUUGUUCCUAGCGAUCCUAAUGGUACAGCCCGUCCCACAUGCGAGACGCCUCUGACCGCACAUUCGUGUUCACCAGCCACUGCGUCUACCUGGCAGUCCAGCGCAGGCCUAAUUGACAAGUGAGAUAUGUCUGCAUAGCGAUUCACCUGUGCAGCAGCAGCUAAAAGGUUGUCAGUGUUACAGUGAUGUCUCAUGUCAGUAUAACUAACAGCCAAGACGCCCUCUGAAUGCACUAUAGAAAUCUUCUGCAGUGCUUUCAGAAACUGUUAACGAAAAUAUUCCAGAAUAACACCAAAUCCAUUCUUCCUGAUGCUCCUAAUGGCAGAGCCCGUCCAUCACGAUAUCAACCCCUCAUAGAAACAAUAAAGUUUCGCAGAAAUAGUUAACGGUCGCUUUUGUUGCCCUAACAGGACCUGCUUACGAAAAUAGCUCAGAAUAACACCGAUGGCUAUCGUAAGUGCAACUUGUUCGUCUAAAGUAUAGCGACACAGCCCACCAUAAUGGUGAGGGGGGUACACAUGUGAUGACAUGAUGCAGACUACACACAUCCUCAAUACCCCCAAUUUCUUAAAAGUGGCGACAUGAAAAAGAAUGCAUAUAGAAUCAUACUGGUGUAAAUGAUGUAAUGUGAUGUCACGCAACUGAAUGCGAAACAGUCUGUCAUACAAUAAAUAAAGUAUUUCAUUUGUGUAUAGAGGUGGAAUGGGACCUAAAAUUGAAUCUUGGGAGACCCCUUGUGAAAUUGUUUCCUAUUUUGAAGCUUAAUUUCCUGUCUGUGACGUUAAACUAAUCUUUCUCUUCCAUUGGUCAAGUAGGACCUGAACCAUUAUAAUACAAUGCCACCUAAUUCAUGCUGUCCAGUUUAGAGUAUAUCGAACGAUAAUUCACUCCAUGAAAGACCUUUGAUGAGCUACACAAAGUUACUGUGGCAUGCGGAGAGUUUUCUAGAGAUGAGAUAAUUUUUUUUUUCUCAAAUUUCAUGUUCUUUUGAUUUUUUGAAACUGUAACUGACUUUUUGAACUUUCAUUAAAUUUUUGUAUGAUUUUUGAAUUUAGAUUGCGACAGCCUUUUCAAAUACGUUAGACUGUGCUGGAAGAGGAGAGAUUGGACAAUAGUGUCACUUAUGUUCUUUUGUUAUGUUCUUUUGCUCUUUUCUGGAAUAGUGGUUUAAAUACUGCGGGUUUCAGAACAUCUGGAAAACAACUUUAUAUUGUGGAUACUGGCUGCACCAUCAUUUUACCAACUGCUUUUCAAUAAUUUGUUAAUUGAGAGACUGCAGCUCCAAAGGUCUCAGAUUUGAUCUGCGAACAGCUCUAGGAUUUUUGUCACUUAUCACUUCUUUCACAUCUGGCAACGUUUGUUAAUGUGAGAAAAGUUAAGUGGCACCAUUAUUUGGAGUCCACGUUAAACUGUACCCCUCUAUAAUCGGCUGGUUAAGUCAGUUCAAAGAUCGAAGGAUACCAUUGGUUAAGGAGCGUUCGUCAAACGAUUGUCAAUUACAUGGUUAAAUGUGGUUAACGGAAAUCUAAAAUGUACCGAAAAGUGCUAAAGCGCUGUUUACUAACCUCGGCUGGAACAAACAAGCUCAUUUACUAUACCGGUCUGACUCAGUUCAUUACAUUAAGCUGGCACUGCAAACCUAGUGAAAAAGGAUGAGGUAACUUACUCAACCUAAGAAUGUCGCCAUCUCCAGAGAUGGAGAGGCACCAAACAAAAUCAAACUGAAUGACGGAUGAGUCUUCCAAAAUGGAAUCCAUGGUCGCUACUCUUCCAGUUACUUUUGAGAGGUUUAAUAUGCGGUUGAAUUCUCUCUCCGAUUACAACACUGAUCAGUUGGUGAAGAGUCUGUAUUAUAUUCCAAGUACAGAGUAUUGCAGAAAGGAUGAUAUCGCUAUUAUCAAAGGAAUCAUGUGGUGGUAUCAAUGUUAUAGUGUAAAUUGGCGAUGUAUUGUGAGGUACAAGUUGGUAUCAGUGUCAUAGUGUAAACUGAGGAUGUAUUGUGAGGUAAAAUUCAAGAAAGAUUGAAAGAAGCCGUGAGAUAGACUGACAUAAAUAUCAAAGGCAGUUCAGUACAACACAUUGUAUCUCAGCAUUUCCGUCUUCGGUGGCAGCAGUGGGAUUUACUCCAGGGUAGCUCGACCAAUGGGGAUGCACUCGACCUCCCUCUCCACCAUCCAUCACCCUGUCUCUCGUCAACAGCCAUCACUAGUCAGUCUGUGAUCUGAGGUUACCAUGAGCUCCAUAAUUUGCUGUAGUCAGCUUCGAUGAAGAUGUAACACCCAUCCACACAGUUGUGUGGAUGGGUAUUGUUGAAGAAGAAGAAGAACAAGAAGAAGAAGAAGAAGCAAUAUCUACUGUGGAGUUCAUUGGAGGGGAGCUCUUCUAAUCAUCAGGGGAAGAAGAAGAAGAAGAAGAAGAACUGGAGGUGGAACUGGUUGAUGAAUCUAUACCAGACAGCCCAGCGUCGCCGUCACCGCCUCCACCACCGCAGAAACCACCACCACCACCACCACCAAGGUGGCGCAUGCUCCCUGAGGAGUAUGUAGAUGAAGGCAAUGAUGUUGAUGUUAUAUUCUCAUACAAAAUAAUAAAUAUCGAUGAAAAGGA
Long non-coding RNA from Schistocerca piceifrons (Central American locust), 3126 nucleotides. RefSeq lists it as uncharacterized. The record is from RefSeq and is a predicted model, not a curated record. NCBI's taxonomy places the organism in Eukaryota, Metazoa, Arthropoda, Insecta, Orthoptera, Acrididae. The transcript is spliced from 4 exons.